CCAUACAUUACAGCAGCAUAUGUUUUUAAUAUUUUAUUUGCAAAUUGUUUAUUUAGUGAGUGCUUCGUUGGCACUCAAAUACAGCGAGAGGGUCGGACCUCAGAGAUUCAGCAGCCGUCGUGGAGGGAGGAUGCUGCGCGCGCUCUCUCUGUUAAUUAAGAGUAAAGCCAUAACCAUAACAUAUUAGUGAUGAAACUCGAGUGUGAACAAGACUGGAGAACAUGUUCGUCCUUGAAAAUGUCAAGAUCAAUUCUUGAGUAGCAGGUUGACUGUCAGUCUUGGAUAUAUAGCUGUCAGCGACCAGUGCAUCACGUGUGAACGUUAAUACCAGUCUCAAGAGAAUGUGACGUAAAUCGACAAGAAAUUAUGUGAAUCAUUCAUUAACAUUUACGUAAAUUUCUCGAAAAUGCUGAUAUGAAUAAUAAAAAAAAGUGAUGUAAAUAAUAGGUGAUUGUGCGAACCGUAUGGAAUGUUUAUUUACCCACAUGAAAAGCGACAUCUUGCCAACACUUCAGCGUCACCUGUGUUCCCAGUUCGCUUCCGGACUCCGCAUUCGUUUCAAAUAAGAAGAGUGUGCUACCGACUUCUGGCAACCAUCCAGUUGUGGUGUUAUCCUGAGAUUCUCAUCAGUGCUACAACAGCUGUUGUUCUGUAAGGCUAUUCCUGCAAGCGUGCUCUGUGAGUGAAUGUGGUUUCGCCAAAUUCUCCCCUUCAAUUCAUGAUUACUGCUGAAAUUCAUGAUGGAUGUAACGCCUAGGAAGCGUGAAAAUAUUGUAGCUCUUAGAAAACAUGCUGGUUUCAGUAUUAGACAGAUCGCUGAAAAUUUGUGCCUAGCAGAGUCAACUGUUGGUCGGAUUCUGAAGAGAGCUGAUGACACUGCUGAUUUUGGAGUUCUGCCGUGAGGUAGAUGUGGAAGAAACGCAAGACAACACCUAACGAUGACAAGAUUAUCACAAGAAAUAGUGGGAAAGAUCCCAAGAAAACCGACAAAGAUAUACAGAGAGAUUUGGUUUAAGCUGGAGUAAAUGUUGAUUCUUCAACUGUUCGAGGAAGGCUCCUUGAAGUUGGCAGAACUGCUGGAAAGCCAGUAAAUAAGCAAUUAUUUACUGCUGCUAUGAAGGAUUAAAUGAUUGUGGCGGGUACUUGAUCAUAAGGGAUGGACGACAGAUGAAUGGAUAGAAGUUAUAUUUUUAGAUAUGGCGCAUUUUGAAGUACAUGGGUACAGAUCAGUAGUAAUAAGACGAAGCAAAGGCAAGCUUCUUCGGAAAGGACAUAUUCAACAAGUGCCAAAAUACUUACCUAAGAAGAUAUUUUGGGGUAGUUUUACUGAUAAAGGGCCUGGACGGCUUGUUAUUGUUGAGGGAACGAUGAAGAAUGACAAAUACAAUGCAGUCCUGGUAACUCAUUUGCUUCCCACUGUGGAUAGACCCUUUCCUGAUAGAGAAGGCAUUUUCCAGCGGGAUCUUGCUCUAUGCCACUCUUCCAGAAAAUUGCUGACGUUCUAAAUUGGCCUGGAAACUCUGACCUCAACCCAGUUGAGAACCUAUGGGCAAUAACCAAACAAAGGAUCGCGAAAUAGGACUGUUCAGCUGUGGAGAAGCAAAUUGCUGCUGUUAAUAGGACCUGGUACCACGAGAAGAAUCGGUAUGGAAUCGACCAAUGUGUUCAACAUUAGUCAAUUCCAUACCAAAGCGUGUAGCAAUGCUUAUGAAAGCAAAGGGUAGUCAUAUCUCU
Molecule: non-coding RNA, 1734 nt
Organism: Cherax quadricarinatus
Lineage: Eukaryota; Metazoa; Arthropoda; Malacostraca; Decapoda; Parastacidae
Source: RefSeq, a predicted model, not a curated record